RNAcentral lists this ribosomal RNA (494 nucleotides) under uncultured bacterium. RNAcentral describes it as "partial 16S ribosomal RNA". It matches the Rfam family "Bacterial small subunit ribosomal RNA", at positions 28 to 507 of the family's 1533-position model. The record is from RNAcentral.
GACGAACGCUGGCGGCGUGCUUAACACAUGCAAGUCGAACGGUGAAGCGCCUUCCUUUUUGGUGGGUGUGGAUGAGUGGCGAACGGGUGAGUAACACGUUAGUAACCUGCCCCCUUCUUCUGGAUAACCGCAUGAAAGUGUGGCUAAUACGGGAUAUUCUGGGUCUGUCGCAUGAUGGGUCUGGGAAAGAUAUUGUUUCGGUGGGGGAUGUGCUCGCGGCCUAUCAGCUUGUUGGUGGGGUGAUGGCCUACCAAGGCGGUGACGGGUAGCCGGCCUGAGAGGGUGGACGGUCACACUGGGACUGAGACACGGCCCAGACUCCUACGGGAGGCAGCAGUGGGGAAUAUUGCACAAUGGGCGCAAGCCUGAUGCAGCGACGCCGCGUGAGGGAUGGAGGCCUUCGGGUUGUGAACCUCUUUCGCCAGUGAAGCAGGCCUGCCUCGUUUGUGGGUGGGUUGACGGUAGCUGGAUAAGAAGCGCCGGCUAACUACGUG